GACGUAGGGCGCGAGUGUUGUCCGGAUUUAUUGGGCGUAAAGAGCUCGUAGGCGGCUUGUCGCGUCGUCCGUGAAAACCCACAGCUCAACUGUGGGCUUGCGGUCGAUACGGGCAGGCUAGAGUUCGGUAGGGGAGACUGGAAUUCCUGGUGUAGCGGUGAAAUGCGCAGAUAUCAGGAGGAACACCGGUGGCGAAGGCGGGUCUCUGGGCCGAUACUGACGCUGAGGAGCGAAAGCGUGGGGAGCGAACAGG
This 253-nucleotide ribosomal RNA is filed under the name uncultured bacterium. RNAcentral's name for it is "partial 16S ribosomal RNA". It matches the Rfam family "Bacterial small subunit ribosomal RNA", at positions 524 to 776 of the family's 1533-position model. The record is from RNAcentral.